RNAcentral lists this ribosomal RNA (497 nucleotides) under uncultured bacterium. Its description in RNAcentral is "partial 16S ribosomal RNA". It matches the Rfam family "Bacterial small subunit ribosomal RNA", at positions 28 to 507 of the family's 1533-position model. The record is from RNAcentral.
GAUGAACGCUGGCGGCGUGCCUAAUACAUGCAAGUCGAGCGAACGGACGAGAAGCUUGCUUCUCUGAUGUUAGCGGCGGACGGGUGAGUAACACGUGGAUAACCUACCUAUAAGACUGGGAUAACUUCGGGAAACCGGAGCUAAUACCGGAUAAUAUUUUGAACCGCAUGGUUCAAAAGUGAAAGACGGUCUUGCUGUCACUUAUAGAUGGAUCCGCACUGCAUUAGCUAGUUGGUAAGGUAACGGCUUACCAAGGCAACGAUGCAUAGCCGACCUGAGAGGGUGAUCGGCCACACGGGAACUGAGACAAGGUCCAGAACCCUACGGGAGGCAGCAGUAGGGAAUCUUCCGGAAUGGGCGAAAGCCUGACGGAGCAACGCCGCGUGAGUGAUGAAGGUCUUCGGAUCGUAAAACUCUGUUAUUAGGGAAGAACAUAUGUGUAAGUAACUGUGCACAUCUUGACGGUACCUAAUCAGAAAGCCACGGCUAACUACGUG